CCUACGGGGGGCAGCAGUGGGGGAUAUUGCACAAUGGGGGGAACCCUGAUGCAGCGACGCCGCGUGGGUGAAGGAGCGUUUCGGCGCGUAAAGCCCUAUCGGCAGGGAAGAAGAUGACGGUACCUGACCAAGAAGCCCCGGCUAACUACGUGCCAGCAGCCGCGGUAAUACGUAGGGGGCAAGCGUUAUCCGGAUUUACUGGGUGUAAAGGGGGCGCAGACGGCAAUGCAAGCCAGGAGUGAAAGCCCGGGGCCCAACCCCGGGACUGCUCUUGGAACUGCAUGGCUGGAGUACAGGAGGGGCAG
This 305-nucleotide ribosomal RNA is filed under the name uncultured bacterium. RNAcentral describes it as "partial 16S ribosomal RNA". It matches the Rfam family "Bacterial small subunit ribosomal RNA", at positions 338 to 660 of the family's 1533-position model. The record is from RNAcentral.